Molecule: ribosomal RNA, 253 nt
Filed under: uncultured bacterium
Lineage: Bacteria
Description: partial 16S ribosomal RNA
Rfam family: Bacterial small subunit ribosomal RNA
Source: RNAcentral
GACAGAGGUCCCGAGCGUUGUUCGGAUUCAUUGGGCGUAAAGGGUGUGUAGGAGGUUGGGUAAGUCAGGUGUGAAAUCUCGGAGCUUAACUCUGAAACUGCGCUUGAUACUGCUCAGCUAGAGGAUCGGAGGGGGUAACGGAAUUUAUGGUGUAGCAGUGAAAUGCGUAGAUAUCAUAAGGAACACCGGUGGCGAAGGCGGUUACCUGGAAGAUUCCUGACUCUGAGACACGAAAGCCAGGGGAGCAAACGGG